GUCGAACGAUGAAACCUAUCUUGCUAGGUGGAUUAGUGGCGCACGGGUGAGUAAUAUAUAGGUAAUGUGCCUCUUAGUCUGGGAUAGCCAUUGGAAACGAUGAUUAAUACUGGAUACUCCUUCUAACUCUAAUGUUAGUCGGGAAAGUUUUUCGCUAAGAGAUCAGCCUAUAUCCCAUCAUUUAGUUGGUAAGGUAACGGCUUACCAAGGCAAUGACGGGUAGCGGGUUUGAGAGGAUGAUCCGCCACACUGGUACUGAGACACGGACCAGACUCCUACGGGAGGCAGCAGUGAGGAAUAUUGCACAAUGGGGGAAACCCUGAUGCAGCAACGCCGCGUGGAGGAUGACGCAUUUCGGUGUGUAAACUCCUUUUAUAUGUCAAGAAAAUGACGGUAGCAUAUGAAUAAGCACCGGCUAACUCCGUGCCAGCAGCCGCGGUAAUACGGAGGGUGCAAGCGUUACUCGGAAUCACUGGGCGUAAAGGACGCGUAGGCGGAUUGGAAAGUCAGAUGUGAAAUCCUACAGCUUAACUGUAGAACUGCAUUUGAAACUUCUAAUCUAGAGUAUGGGAGGGGGAGAUGGAAUUAGUGGUGUAGGGGUAAAAUCCGUAGAUAUCACUAGGAAUACCGAAAGCGAAGGCGAUCUCCUGGAACAUUACUGACGCUAAGGCGUGAAAGCGUGGGGAGCAAACAGGAUUAGAUACCCUGGUAGUCCACGCCCUAAACGAUGAACACUAGUCGUCGGGAUGCUUGUCAUCUCGGUGAUGCACUUAACAGAUUAAGUGUUCCGCCUGGGG
RNAcentral lists this ribosomal RNA (797 nucleotides) under uncultured bacterium. RNAcentral's name for it is "bacterial SSU rRNA". It matches the Rfam family "Bacterial small subunit ribosomal RNA", at positions 61 to 878 of the family's 1533-position model. The record is from RNAcentral.